Molecule: ribosomal RNA, 497 nt
Filed under: uncultured bacterium
Lineage: Bacteria
Description: partial 16S ribosomal RNA
Rfam family: Bacterial small subunit ribosomal RNA
Source: RNAcentral
GAUGAACGCUGGCGGCGUGCCUAAUACAUGCAAGUCGAGCGAACAGACGAGGAGCUUGCUCCUCUGACGUUAGCGGCGGACGGGUGAGUAACACGUGGAUAACCUACCUAUAAGACUGGGAUAACUUCGGGAAACCGGAGCUAAUACCGGAUAAUAUAUUUAACCGUAUGGUUUAAUAGUGAAAGACGGUUUUGCAGUCACCUAUAGAUGGAUCCGCGUCGAAUUAGCUAGUUGGUAAGGUAACGGCUUACCAAGGCAACGAUGCGUAGCCGACCUGAGAGGGUGAUGGGCCACACUGGAACUGAGACACGGUCCAGACUCCUACGGGAGGCAGCAGUAGGGAAUCUUCCGCAAGGGGGGAAAGCCUGACGGGGCAACGCCGCGUGGGUGAUGAAGGUCUUCGGAUCGUAAAACUCUGUUAUUGGGGAGGAACAAAUGUGUAAGUAACUAUGCACGUCUUGACGGUACCUAAUCAGAAAGCCACGGCUAACUACGUG